UACGUAGGGGGCGAGCGUUGUUCGGAUUUACUGGGCGUAAAGGGCGCGCAGGCGGUCUUGAAAGUCAGGCGUGAAAGCCCCGGGCUUAACCUGGGAAUUGCGCUUGAUACUCUGAGACUGGAGUACGGGAGAGGAGAGUGGAAUUCCCAGUGUAGAGGUGAAAUUCGUAGAUAUUGGGAAGAACACCAGUGGCGAAGGCGGCUCUCUGGACCGUAACUGACGCUGAGGCGCGAAAGCGUGGGGAGCAAACAGG
This 253-nucleotide ribosomal RNA is filed under the name uncultured bacterium. RNAcentral's name for it is "partial 16S ribosomal RNA". It matches the Rfam family "Bacterial small subunit ribosomal RNA", at positions 524 to 776 of the family's 1533-position model. The record is from RNAcentral.